RNAcentral lists this long non-coding RNA (1814 nucleotides) under Gossypium barbadense (sea-island cotton). RNAcentral's name for it is "long non-coding RNA (GBAR_LNC020166)". The record is from RNAcentral. Lineage: Eukaryota; Viridiplantae; Streptophyta; Magnoliopsida; Malvales; Malvaceae.
UAGGCUUAAGGCCUGAUUCAAUACACUGGCACUUAGCCUGCUAGACAUAAAGUCUGAAAUGUUUCACCGACGUCAAGCCUGCUAGACUUAAAGUCUGAAAUGUUUUACCGGCGUCAAGCCUGCUAGACUUAAAGUCUGAAAUGUUUCACCGGCGACAAGCCUGCUAGACUUAAAGUCUGAAACAUAUCACUGGUAUCAAGCCUGCUAGGCACCGAGCCUGAACACUCAAUUUAUAUAAAUACAAAUCACUUUCAAAAUGUAUAUGUAUAUAAGAUUCCAUGUAUAAAAAUUUAGCUCAAUAUAUAUAAAUUAUGCCUUUAAACCACAUAGGUAUAUAAAGUUCAGAUAUUGAAUCCAGCUCAAUAACUUAAUUAUACAUAUGAUCAUAUACAGAUAUAUAACUUAAUACAUUAAGGGCUACUAUUAAUAUCAUGCAUUCGAACAUCUUAUAGUAAUCCAAGCUAACAAUUUUGUACCUUCAACUCCAUUCAAAAGCUUCACAUGAAUAUAAUUACAUAAUUGAAUCUCACAUAAACUUAUAUAAUUAUCAUACCUAAAUUCAAUACAUAAACAUGUACAUAUAUAAGUUUGUAUAUAUUCGAGUCUCAUACAUACUUUAUGUAAUAGUCAUACCUAAAUUUAACACAAAACAUAUUCAAUUAUAUUUGUAUUUCCGAACUUCAUAUAAACUUAUAUAAAAAUUAUACCCAAACUCAAUACAAAAACAUAUACAUGUAAAUAUAUAUUUAUGUGCUCAUUCAAUUCUAUCAUAUACAUAUAAAUUUCAACUCACAUGUACAUACCAUUUCAAAACUACUUAUGCAAAUAUAACAUAUAUAUUUUUAAUCAAUCCAAUAGUUUGUACAUAUAUGUACUUACAUAUAUAUACAUUCGAACCUUAUAUUUAUAUAUAUAUACUAUACAUACCUUUCGAUUAAUAACCAAGAAUUUAUACAUAAGCCAUAUUCAUUCUUCAACUAAAUUCAAGAGCUUACAUAUAUGUGUAUACAUAUAUGUAUAUUCGAACAUUAAUCAUAUAUUUAUAUAUAUACAUAUCAUUUUUACUUUGACUAAAUUCAAGCUAUAUACUUUCAAUUUAAGCUCAUCCAAAUACAAUAUAUAUAUAUGUAUAUUAAUUAAUAACAUUAAAUUGCUAGUUGACUUACCUCGGACGGUGAAAAAUCGAAAUCGGAAGAUUAUUCGACGAUUUUAUCUUUCCCCCGAUCGAACUCCGAUUUCUUUGGUUCUUGAUCUAAAUAUAUCUAGAAUGAGCUAAUUUAAAUAUUAAAACAUUCAAUUUAAUCCAAAAACACAUAAAUAGGAAAAUUACCAUUUUGCCCCUAAUAUUUUACACUUUUUGCAAUUUAAUCCCAAUUGCAUAAAACACAAUUUACACAAAAUCUCACAACAACAUAGCUAGGCCGAAUCUUCCUUGUAUUCAUACAAGUCCAUGCAUUUCAUUUAUUUUUCAUUUUAGUCCCUCAAAAAUUUAUUUUUUUAAUUUAGCCCUAAUUACUCAAAUUUACCAAAAAUUCAAAGACAAAACAUGUUAAUCUAACACAUAUAUUUCAUAAUCCAUCAUCAAACAUCAUAGAACACAAUUAUUCAUUAAUGGCAUAACUCAAAAUAUUCAUCAAAAUCAAAAAUUCUAGCAUGGGUCAGAUGGUAUUCGAAGCAACGAUCUCAAAAAUAUAAAAAUUAUCAAAAACCGAGCUAGAACUCACCUUGAAUCAAGCUCAACAAUGGCCGAAUACCCUAGCUUUGUUUCUUUGUUUUGUUUUUGUUCUGUUUCGUGAUGAAGAUGAAGGGAAAAA